UGAGAAUGAUUACUAUGUGGGCGUUGUACAAAGCCUGAGUAGACAGAAGGGGGUUGAUCAAGCUCCAGCACAACGUCCCCUCAGUCCAAGACUAGGUGGUAGCCAACUUGAACCUCAUGUCUCCCGCAAGAAAGCCCCAGCCUCUGGUGACAAUUGGAGUAUUGGGAUGAAGGCCAAGAAAGUAUGGGACCAGGAUAACUACUUUGGGCCCUGUGAUGUUCCUCCCAAGUAACAGGAGAGAGUACACCUGUAUCUCCACGGAUGAGUGGAGAUAUCGAUAAACCUGGCUUCCCUGCCUCAACAGGGGACAGGAAGCCCGUAUCGCCUGGCAGUCGUGUUGAGUAGCAUCGACUUCAAGAGAGUUCCAGGACCUUAUUUUGCCAAUCCCAAAAUGCGGUUUCUCCCUUGGGUCCGACCCUCGGACCCAACAACAAGCACGGUCUCGUUAGCUCUGCAACAUAUGAUGGCUUCAUCAGGCGGAAAGAACUAAUCGCCCAAAGAGUA
Molecule: non-coding RNA, 504 nt
Organism: Salvelinus sp. IW2-2015
Lineage: Eukaryota; Metazoa; Chordata; Actinopteri; Salmoniformes; Salmonidae
Source: RefSeq, a predicted model, not a curated record